Molecule: ribosomal RNA, 162 nt
Filed under: Triticum aestivum (bread wheat)
Lineage: Eukaryota; Viridiplantae; Streptophyta; Magnoliopsida; Poales; Poaceae
Description: partial small subunit ribosomal RNA
Source: RNAcentral
AUAAACCGUGGUUGCCUACCUCCUUUGGUUGGUGGGGGCGGCUCCUCUGCUGUGGGUAAAAGGGAAACCCGACUCUACAAACCCAAGGAAAGGCUGCACAACUUCCGUAGGGGCGUUAAGACCGGAGCUUUUUGUAGUGCUAGCAGGAAUGCACGUGAAUGA